AUGCAGCUAAAGAGUCCCAAAUAGGACGAAACGCGCGUCAAACUGGAU
Non-coding RNA from Schistosoma rodhaini, 48 nucleotides. Lineage: Eukaryota; Metazoa; Platyhelminthes; Trematoda; Strigeidida; Schistosomatidae. The record is from Rfam.